AGCGAACGUUUGCGGCGGGCCUAACACAUGCAAGUCGAACGCACUAGCAAUAGUGAGUGGCGCACGGGUGCGUAACACGUGGGUAAUCAACCCUUCAGCUUGGGAUAACGACUUGAAAGGGUCGCUAAUACCGGAUACGGCGCGGGAGGCUUCGGCUUCUCACGAGAAAGCCUCGCAAGGGGCACUGAAGGACGAGCCUGCGGCCCAUCAGCUAGUUGGUGAGGUAAGAGCUCACCAAGGCGAAGACGGGUAGCUGGUCUGAGAGGAUGAUCAGCCACACUGGAACUGAGACACGGUCCAGACUCCUACGGGAGGCAGCAGUGGGGAAUAUUGCGCAAUGGGCGAAAGCCUGACGCAGCCACGCCGCGUGAGCGAUGAAGGCCUUCGGGUCGGUAAAGACUCUGUGGGGGAGAGACGAAGAAGACCGUGAAGAGCCGGCCUUGACGGUAUCUCCUUAGCAAGCACCGGCUAACUACCGUGCCAGC
Molecule: ribosomal RNA, 485 nt
Filed under: uncultured bacterium
Lineage: Bacteria
Description: bacterial SSU rRNA
Rfam family: Bacterial small subunit ribosomal RNA
Source: RNAcentral